AUGGCGUCGGCGUCGCGGCUGCUGCCGCCCUUUCCCCCUCCAGCUGCCCCAACAUCUCGCCACACAACUCUCCGCGCCGUCCCUCGCAGCUGCAGCCUCGCCAUCCCGAGCCUCCGGUGCCGCGCCUCCGCUCCAGCGGCCGUUGACGCUGGCUCGCCGCUGCUGCUCGAGGACCGCGCCGGCGCGGUGUCCAUCCGAGAGUUUGUCACGCUCGAUGAGCUCCACGCCGCCGUGCGCCUCCGCGUUCGCACCUUCUACGAGUACGCCCGCGACACUGUCGGCGCCGAGGAUCACAGGAAAGGUCUGGCAGAGAGGGAAUAUGAAGCAUUACAAAAUCGGAUUUCUGGGAAUAUGAUUAAUUUUCGGAGAGUCUCUUGUAUAAAUGGGACAGUGCCACUGUUGCCAUCGUUGAUGUCAGCAGAGGAGCUUUGUUCAACAUGCAAGUUUAUUGAAGAUGGGGAAGAGAGAAUAGUAGUUGGUAGUUUAGACCUGAAUCAGUGCCUCUGGCUACCAGAUGAACUGACUGGAAAGAGGCCAGGGGUAACUGAAUCAAGCCAUACACGGGCAUAUCUGAGCAAUGUAUGUGUUGCCAAGGAGCUCCAAAGAUGCGGACUGGGCUAUGCAUUGGUUGACAAGUCUAAGAAGCUUGCUCGUCAAUGGGGCAUAACGGAUUUGUAUGUCCAUGUUGCCAUCAACAACGAGGCGGCACAAAAGCUGUACAUCAAGAGUGGAUUUGUGUACGAAAGUGAGGAGCCUGCCCAGCAGGCUAGGCAUCUUGGGCGCCCUCGAAGGCUUCUUCUUUGGCUUGAUAUGAAGAACGAAACCUUGUGA
RNAcentral lists this ribosomal RNA (831 nucleotides) under Triticum aestivum (bread wheat). RNAcentral describes it as "partial small subunit ribosomal RNA". Lineage: Eukaryota; Viridiplantae; Streptophyta; Magnoliopsida; Poales; Poaceae. The record is from RNAcentral.